CAGCCGCCGCGGUAACACGGAGGGUGCAAGCGUUAAUCGGAAUUACUGGGCGUAAAGCGCACGCAGGCGGUCUGUCAAGUCGGAUGUGAAAUCCCCGGGCUCAACCUGGGAACUGCAUUCGAAACUGGCAGGCUAGAGUCUUGUAGAGGGGGGUAGAAUUCCAGGUGUAGCGGUGAAAUGCGUAGAGAUCUGGAGGAAUACCGGUGGCGAAGGCGGCCCCCUGGACAAAGACUGACGCUCAGGUGCGAAAGCGUGGGGAGCAAACAGGAUUAGAUACCCCAGUAGUCCCUGUCUCUUAUAC
This 301-nucleotide ribosomal RNA is filed under the name uncultured bacterium. Its description in RNAcentral is "partial 16S ribosomal RNA". It matches the Rfam family "Bacterial small subunit ribosomal RNA", at positions 509 to 807 of the family's 1533-position model. The record is from RNAcentral.